GAUUGAGAGAGAACGUGAGAGGAGAGGAUGAGAGAGAAGUAACAAAAGUUAAAACAAAAACAAAAAACUGAAAUCUAUUUGAAAGUGUUUUCACCUUCAAGUUUUUGUUUUCACUUUUGUUACUCCUCCCUCUCAUCCUCUCUCUCAAUCUCAUCAUCACU
Molecule: microRNA precursor, 161 nt
Filed under: Prunus dulcis (almond)
Lineage: Eukaryota; Viridiplantae; Streptophyta; Magnoliopsida; Rosales; Rosaceae
Description: sRNA ncRNA
Source: RNAcentral